AUUGAACGCUGGCGGCAGGCCUAACACAUGCAAGUCGAGCGGAUGAAGGGAGCUUGCUCCUGGAUUCAGCGGCGGACGGGUGAGUAAUGCCUAGGAAUCUGCCUGGUAGUGGGGGAUAACGUCCGGAAACGGGCGCUAAUACCGCAUACGUCCUGAGGGAGAAAGCGGGGGAUCUUCGGACCUCACGCUAUCAGAUGAGCCUAGGUCGGAUUAGCUAGUUGGUGGGGUAAAGGCCUACCAAGGCGACGAUCCGUAACUGGUCUGAGAGGAUGAUCAGUCACACUGGAACUGAGACACGGUCCAGACUCCUACGGGAGGCAGCAGUGGGGAAUAUUGGACAAUGGGCGAAAGCCUGAUCCAGCCAUGCCGCGUGUGUGAAGAAGGUCUUCGGAUUGUAAAGCACUUUAAGUGGGGAGGAAGAGCAGUGAGUUAAUACCUUGCUGUUUUGACGGUACCAACAGAAUAAGCACCGGCUAACUUCGUG
This 484-nucleotide ribosomal RNA is filed under the name uncultured bacterium. RNAcentral's name for it is "partial 16S ribosomal RNA". It matches the Rfam family "Bacterial small subunit ribosomal RNA", at positions 30 to 507 of the family's 1533-position model. The record is from RNAcentral.